CUCAUUAAUAAUUCAUAAGCUCACUGGCAAAUCAUGUCAACCAUAAUAUGUCACGUGCAGUGGCUUUAAACCUGAUAAAACACUCCUAAUUAGUAUUCUUUAUAUAAAGAAUACUAAUAAGGCAGUAUCUAUUGUAGUCGUGUCCUCAUUAGUAUUCAAUAAUAAUAAUAAAAUAAUAAUAAUAAAACACUCAUUAAUAAUUCAUAAGCUCACUGGCAAAUCAUGUCAACCAUAAUAUGUCACGUGCAGUGGCUUUAAACCUGAUAAAACACUCCUAAUUAGUAUUCUUUAUAUAAAGAAUACUAAUA
Molecule: non-coding RNA, 308 nt
Organism: Paramuricea clavata
Lineage: Eukaryota; Metazoa; Cnidaria; Anthozoa; Malacalcyonacea; Plexauridae
Source: the annotation of a GenBank genome assembly